Molecule: long non-coding RNA, 290 nt
Filed under: Coccomyxa subellipsoidea
Lineage: Eukaryota; Viridiplantae; Chlorophyta; Trebouxiophyceae; Coccomyxaceae
Description: long non-coding RNA (CSUB_LNC000702)
Source: RNAcentral
UGUGGAUCUGCGAGUGCAGAUGGCGGGGACUGGUCAGCAAAAUGGCUUUUGGGUGAUGCAAAGGAACAGGGACAGGGAAGCCUGCUGCCAUGGAUGGCAGUCCUGGACUUUCCUUUUGCACCAAUUCCUGUGGCCAGACCCCUGGGCCUGGUUGCCUUUAGCAAAGGUGAUCUAGGAAGCGCGAUGCUGCCUGGGAGCACUAUAACAGCCAUGGGUUCGCCUUUUGGAGCACUCUCGCAUGCCCACUUCAAGAACCACAUCGCCGCUGGCAUCGUUGCAAAUGCAGUGUA